GUGGAAACUUGUACGCAAUUAUUUAUGAGGUUGGGAUUGGGUUGAAGAAGGUAGUAUGACACUCAUGUUUCAGGAAUGUUGAAAAACCAAAUUGUGAUUUGGACCUUAUGGUGAAAGUGCCUUCUCAUCUGUAGGUAGACCAUAACUUGACAGAGGAUGGGGCGUUAUCCAUCAGAUUUGCAACAACAGAUUCAUCGACUAGGGUGCCAGAAACGCAAAGAAGAAACAUGUCUGAAAGAGUGGCUGAGCAUGCGUUAAACAAAUGAAUCACUUACACUUGAGAGAAACACUGUGGAAAAAUCUGGAUGUUCUGCUCCUAAUGCCAUAUUAUUCCUUGCUGGCGAAGAGAAAGGAGAAGAGGCCUGCAGAGGGGGAAUGUCACUUGGAACAUCAGCAUCUGUCAUCAUGGCACUUCCAGAAGCUCAGACAUGAAAUGGUUUGA
RNAcentral lists this long non-coding RNA (442 nucleotides) under Anas platyrhynchos platyrhynchos (common mallard). RNAcentral's name for it is "lncRNA (ENSAPLG00000018870.1)". Lineage: Eukaryota; Metazoa; Chordata; Aves; Anseriformes; Anatidae. The record is from RNAcentral.